Molecule: long non-coding RNA, 384 nt
Filed under: Schistocerca americana (American grasshopper)
Lineage: Eukaryota; Metazoa; Arthropoda; Insecta; Orthoptera; Acrididae
Description: uncharacterized LOC124625210, transcript variant X3
Source: RNAcentral
CCGCCGAUGUGUAGCACAUCAAACCAGCGCCCUUGAACGUAUAAAAAGCUAGACUAAGCCGUACUACAGCUUACACUUUCAUCAGUGAAUUUCAUUAUUUUUUCUGGCGACGUGCCUGUAAAAGUGCAUAUUUAAUAACGUUUCCGAGGACUCGCGAUGUUGGAACAUUCGACACCGGCCACCAGAACCUGGAGAUCAACGCAGUGGCGCAGAAUUACAUCGUGGAAAAGGAAACAAGAAGAGUUCCGAGAAGCAUAGGGGAUAUUCGGCACAAAGUGUAACACGUGCAAAGUCGGCAACCAGACAACUGAAUGAAAAGCCAAGUAAUGUAUGACUGGAGCUGAUCAAAAUGUAAUUAAUGAUUUUGUGGAGAAUAAACCAAAA